Molecule: ribosomal RNA, 559 nt
Filed under: Hemiselmis andersenii
Lineage: Eukaryota; Cryptophyceae; Cryptomonadales; Hemiselmidaceae
Description: partial Bacterial small subunit ribosomal RNA
Rfam family: Bacterial small subunit ribosomal RNA
Source: RNAcentral
GUUUGAUCCUGGCUCAGGACGAACGCUGGCGGCGUGCUUAACACAUGCAAGUCGAACGAGAGUUUUUAACUCUAGUGGCGGACGGGUGAGUAACACGUGAGAAUCUACCCUAAGGAGGGGAAUAACAGCUGGAAACGGUUGCUAAUACCCCAUAUGCCGAAAGGUAAAAGGAUUUAUCCACCUUAGGAAGAGCUCGCGCCUGAUUAGCUAGUUGGUGGGGUAAAGGCCCACCAAGGCCAUGAUCAGUAGCUGGUUUGAGAGGACGAUCAGCCACACUGGGACUGAGACACGGCCCAGACUCCUACGGGAGGCAGCAGUGGGGAAUUUUGGACAAUGGGCGCAAGCCUGAUCCAGCCAUGCCGCGUGCGGGAAGAAGGCCUUCGGGUUGUAAACCGCUUUUGUCAGGGAAGAAAAGGUUCUGGCUAAUACCUGGGACUCAUGACGGUACCUGAAGAAUAAGCACCGGCUAACUACGUGCCAGCAGCCGCGGUAAUACGUAGGGUGCGAGCGUUAUCCGGAAUUAUUGGGCGUAAAGAGCUCGUAGGCGGUUUGUCGCGUC